GCCGUGAUCGUAUAGUGGUUAGUACAUUGAGUUGUGGCCGCAAUAACACAGGUUCGAAUCCUGGUCAUGGCA
This is a non-coding RNA of Nematostella vectensis (starlet sea anemone), 72 nucleotides long. The record is from Rfam. Lineage: Eukaryota; Metazoa; Cnidaria; Anthozoa; Actiniaria; Edwardsiidae.